CACCAAUUGGUGAAUUACUUUACAUUUACAUCUAGAGAAUCCAAAAUCUAUAUAUAUAUAUAUAUAUAAAUAUCUACAACUUAUUAUACUACUAUAAAAUGUCUAAAAAUAUUUUGGGCUUAUCUAUUUGAGUUGCAGUAACUAACGUUAGCUGGGAAAAAACUGUUUUUGAACCGAUUUGUGUUACAUUUAAAAAUGUCGAGAUUUUCACUGUUUCGAAGUUUCCGGCCAUGUUUCUGAAAUCUGGUUUCUGGUAUGAGAUACGACAGACGAUCACCACUAGUCGACUUAAUUUGUUUAAAAAGUUUUUGAGAUAAUUGUUGUCUAUUUUCCGCUAAUGACAGACAACCAGACAUUGAAAGUGCAUCAUUAUACGAUUGAAAUGGAUAUAUAAUUCGGAAAGCUCUUCGUUGAAUUUUCUCAAUUUUAUCAGACAAGUACGUCGGAAGACUCGAGUGCCAGACUGGGCAACCAUAUUGUAGGAUUGAUCUGACUAAUGUUUUGAAGAUUGUUAUUAGAUCAUCAACAGGAAGUCCAUUACGCUUUAAGACACGUAUGAUAUAUAACCGUUUAGCAGCUUUCUUUGUA
This is a non-coding RNA of Paramuricea clavata, 588 nucleotides long. The record is from the annotation of a GenBank genome assembly. Lineage: Eukaryota; Metazoa; Cnidaria; Anthozoa; Malacalcyonacea; Plexauridae.